GCACUGCUUCGACAUGCUGCACAGAACAAACCUUUUAACAUUGCAAUGUACAGAUCAGCCUGCUUUCUUUUUUAAACCUGCCACAGCGGUUAAAUAGAUAUUUCAAUACUUUAAAUUGAAACAGCAACGAGACUAUUAUGUCAAUGUAAGGAACCCGUUCUACAAUACAAGCCACAUUUAAAAUGUAAUGUAAACAUGGAAGACAUUUAUAGUGGCCGUUUUUCUUCUUCAAUCUCCUUGCAACUGUUAGCGAUGACGUGAAUACAAUUUGGUGUUAUUGCCAGCAAACACUCAUGCACGGCACUGCCAUUAACUGGACAAACUCCGCGAAAGUUAGUCGGAACUAAAUCCAUCACGUUGAGAGUAAAAUAAAACGAUAAAACGCUGCCACUCAAGGCUGUGAUUUUGGCCAUCUUACUCAGAGUCGCCCUCCGCUGUGCAGGACAAGAGGAUUAUUCCCAUAGAUGAAAAAUAAAAGAGUUAUUACUGUUUAAAAAAUGUUGAGAUUCUCUCUCCUGAAGGCCACGCCCCUUUCAGAGGGACUAUAAAACCCAGAAGUGUUGAGUGCCCCAGUCAGUCUCUGCUAGAUGGGGGAGUGAGAGGGUCACGUCGCUCAGUCUGAGCUGUGAAUAACACUGAACACAUGUCUACUAAACUGUGAGUGGUUUUACUGACCUGUCUGUGCCCUUAAUGUGGUUUGUAAAACAUAGUUUGGAAAUGCUAAAGCUGUGUUGCCUUUAGUUUGGAAAUGCUGAAGCUGUGUUACCUUUGGUUUGGAAAUGCUAAAGCUGUGUUGCCUUUUGUUUGGAAAUUCUAAAACUGUGCUGCCUUUGGUUUGGAAAUGCUAAAGCUGUGUUGCCUAAUUAAAGUUGCCAUGCCCAAUUAAAGUUGCCUUGCCCAAUUAAAGUUA
Long non-coding RNA from Leucoraja erinaceus (little skate), 910 nucleotides. RefSeq lists it as uncharacterized. The transcript has 2 exons. NCBI's taxonomy places the organism in Eukaryota, Metazoa, Chordata, Chondrichthyes, Rajiformes, Rajidae. The record is from RefSeq and is a predicted model, not a curated record.